GGAAACUCAUUAUUAAUGUCCCUACUUUCAAAUGCAGGCUCCGGCUGCUGACUGAAACUCUGUAAAUCCUGCCCUAAAACAAUCGGCCCCUUCCCUCUCUGGAGGGUUAGGGUGCCCACUAGGAGACAUGGAUUGCCUAAACCUUUCUGGUCACAGAAUCUUUGGAUCAGAUGAAAGCCGUGGACCCUCCUUGGGGACUGUUCAGGUGAUGAGAAGUUCUGCUCACUAGGGAAUUCUGUGAUGAGUCCCAAGACUCUCAUCUGAGAAGACAAGGAUGAUGAUGAUUCCAGUAAAGGAUCCUCAAGUCACCAGCCAGCCAAAUGCCUG
This is a non-coding RNA of Peromyscus maniculatus bairdii (prairie deer mouse), 327 nucleotides long. NCBI's taxonomy places the organism in Eukaryota, Metazoa, Chordata, Mammalia, Rodentia, Cricetidae. The record is from RefSeq and is a predicted model, not a curated record.